GCAUAUGCUUGUUUCAAAGGCUAAGCCAUGCACGUCUCAGUAGAAACUCUAUGAGUGAAACCGCGAAUGGCUCAUUAUAUCAGUUACAUUCUACUGGAGCUUGAAAUGAACUACAUGGAUAUCUGAGGUAAUUCUUGAGCUAAUACAUGCCGCGAACAGGCUGAACCGGGGGCAACCUUAGUUCAGUUUGAUGCUAUUAGUCUCGUAACCAACUGGCUUUAAUGCCACAAAGGUGAAACAGAAUAAGCCAUCUGAUCGCACGAACUAAGUUUCGGCGACGUAUCCUUCGAGUGCCUGCCUUAUCAACUAUCGAUGGUAGCUUACGCGGCUACCAUGGUGAUAACGGGUGACGGGGAAUCAGGGUUCGAUUCCGGAGAGGGAGCCUGAGAAACGGCUACCACAUCUAAGGAAGGCAGCAGGCACGCAAAUUACCCACUCCCAGCUUGGGGAGGUAGUGACGAAAAAUACCAAUCCGGGCCUCAUAUGAGGUCCCGGGAUUGGAAUGAGAACAGUACAAAAUCCUUAACGAGGAUCAACUGGAGGGCAAGUCUGGUGCCAGCAGCCGCGGUAAUUCCAGCUCCAGUAGCUUACGCUAAAGUUGCUGCAGUUAAAAAGCUCGUAGUUGGAUGUUGGCUAUAUGGGGGGAGGUUGGCUUCAAUGCGGAGCCAGCUGUAUCUCCUCGCCCACCAGGAAGAGACCUGUUAGUGUCCUUAAGUGGAUGCUAGCGUGAAGCUCUCCUCGGUUACUUUGACAAACUUAGAGUGCUUAAAGCGGGCUACAUUACGCUCGAAUAAACUGCAUAGAAUAACGAAAUACGUCGCAUAGGCGAUUCGUUGGUUCCACCUGUAUGCGAAAUGAUUAAAAGGAACAGGCGGGAGCAUUCGUAUUGCUGGGCUAGAGGUGAAAUUCUUGGACCCCAGCAAGACGAACAACAGCGAAAGCAUUUGCUAAGAAUGUUUUCAUUAACCAAGAACGAAAGUUAGAGGUUCGAAGGCGAUCAGAUACCGCCCUAGUUCUAACCAUAAACGAUGCCAACUAGUGAUCAGGCGUGGCCUUUUAAAAUUAACUUGGCCCGCCUGGGAGCUGAUCCGGGAAACCAAAGUUUUUGGGUUCUGGGGGAAGUAUGGUUGCAAAGCUGAAACUUAAAGGAAUUGACGGAAGGGCACCACCAGGAGUGGAGCCUGCGGCUUAAUUUGACUCAACACGGGGAAACUCACCAGGUCAGAACACUGGAAGGAUGGACAGAUUGAUAGCUCUUUCUUGAUUCAGUGGGUGGUGGUGCAUGGCCGUUCUUAGUUGGUGGAGUGAUUUGUCUGGUUGAUUCCGAUAACGAACGAGAUUCUUGCCAAGCAUUUUGGAUCGUAGGAGAACGGCCUUAUGGCUGAGUACCCUGCGCCAGUAAUGCCGGGACAGAGAUCAACUAAGAUCUAUGAGAAAGAGCGAUAACAGGUCUGUGAUGCCCUUAGAUGUUCUGGGCUGCACGCGCGCUACACUGAAAAGGGGAACGUGCGUGCGGAUCCGGGCAUUUCUGAGAGGAGGUGCGAACCAUUUGAAACCUUUUCGUGAUGGGGAUUGGGCUUUGUAAUUAUUGCCCAUGAACGAGGAAUUCCCAGUAAACGUAAUUCAUCAAAUUGCGUUGACUACGUCCCUGCCCUUUGUACACACCGCCCGUCGCUACUACCGAUUGAAUGAUUUGGUGAGGACUUUGGAGGUUGCUGGCCUUGGCGCAAGCCGGGUCGUGUAGCUGAAGCUGGCCAAACUUGAUUGUUUAGAGGAAGUAAAAGUCGUAA
RNAcentral lists this ribosomal RNA (1790 nucleotides) under Ereynetidae gen. sp. AD1086. Its description in RNAcentral is "SSU rRNA". It matches the Rfam family "Eukaryotic small subunit ribosomal RNA". The record is from RNAcentral. Lineage: Eukaryota; Metazoa; Arthropoda; Arachnida; Trombidiformes; Ereynetidae.